GUUGCCAAUAUCGGCGGCCGAUGACGGUACCUGAAGAAUAAGCACCGGCUAACUACGUGCCAGCAGCCGCGGUAAUACGUAGGGUGCGAGCGUUAAUCGGAAUUACUGGGCGUAAAGCGGGCGCAGACGGUUACUUAAGCAGGAUGUGAAAUCCCCGGGCUCAACCCGGGAACUGCGUUCUGAACUGGGUGACUCGAGUGUGUCAGAGGGAGGUGGAAUUCCACGUGUAGCAGUGAAAUGCGUAGAGAUGUGGAGGAAUACCGAUGGCGAAGGCAGCCUCCUGGGAUAACACUGACGUUCAUGUCCGAAAGCGUGGGUAGCAAACAGGAUUAGAUACCCUGGUAGUCCACGCCCUAAACGAUGUCAAUUAGCUGUUGGGCAACUUGAUUGCUUGGUAGCGUAGCUAACGCGUGAAAUUGACCGCCUGGGGAGUACGGUCGCAAGAUUAAAACUCAAAGGAAUUGACGGGGACCCGCACAAGCGGUGGAUGAUGUGGAUUAAUUCGAUGCAACGCGAAGAACCUUACCUGGUUUUGACAUGUGCGGAAUCCUCCGGAGACGGAGGAGUGCCUUCGGGAGCCGUAACACAGGUGCUGCAUGGCUGUCGUCAGCUCGUGUCGUGAGAUGUUGGGUUAAGUCCCGCAACGAGCGCAACCCUUGUCAUUAGUUGCCAUCAUUCGGUUGGGCACUCUAAUGAGACUGCCGGUGACAAGCCGGAGGAAGGUGGGGAUGACGUCAAGUCCUCAUGGCCCUUAUGACCAGGGCUUCACACGUCAUACAAUGGUCGGUACAGAGGGUAGCCAAGCCGCGAGGCGGAGCCAAUCUCACAAAACCGAUCGUAGUCCGGAUUGCACUCUGCAACUCGAGUGCAUGAAGUCGGAAUCGCUAGUAAUCGCAGGUCAGCAUACUGCGGUGAAUACGUUCCCGGGUCUUGUACACACCGCCCGUCACACCAUGGGAGUGGGGGAUACCAGAAGUAGGUAGGGUAACCGCAAGGAGCCCGCUUACCACGGUAUGCUUCAUGACUGGGGUGAAGUCGUAACAAGGUAGCCGUAGGGGAACCUGCGGCUGGAUCACCUCCUUUCUA
RNAcentral lists this ribosomal RNA (1086 nucleotides) under Neisseria gonorrhoeae. RNAcentral describes it as "bacterial SSU rRNA". It matches the Rfam family "Bacterial small subunit ribosomal RNA", at positions 450 to 1533 of the family's 1533-position model. The record is from RNAcentral. Lineage: Bacteria; Pseudomonadati; Pseudomonadota; Betaproteobacteria; Neisseriales; Neisseriaceae.